GAUGAACGCUGGCGGCGUGCCUAAUACAUGCAAGUCGAGCGAACAGACGAGGAGCUUGCUCCUCUGACGUUAGCGGCGGACGGGUGAGUAACACGUGGAUAACCUACCUAUAAGACUGGGAUAACUUCGGGAAACCGGAGCUAAUACCGGAUAAUAUAUUGAACCGCAUGGUUCAAUAGUGAAAGACGGUUUUGCUGUCACUUAUAGAUGGAUCCGCGCCGCAUUAGCUAGUUGGUAAGGUAACGGCUUACCAAGGCGACGAUGCGUAGCCGACCUGAGAGGGUGAUCGGCCACACUGGACCUGAGACACGGUCCAGACUCCUACGGGAGGCAGCAGUAGGGAAUCUUCCGCAAUGGGCGAAAGCCUGACGGAGCAACGCCGCGUGAGUGAUGAAGGUCUUCGGGUCGUAAAACUCUGUUAUUGGGGAAGAACAAAUGUGUAAGUAACUAUGCCCGUCUUGACGGUACCUAAUCAGAAAGCCACGGCUAACUACGU
RNAcentral lists this ribosomal RNA (496 nucleotides) under uncultured bacterium. Its description in RNAcentral is "partial 16S ribosomal RNA". It matches the Rfam family "Bacterial small subunit ribosomal RNA", at positions 28 to 506 of the family's 1533-position model. The record is from RNAcentral.